Long non-coding RNA from Equus asinus (donkey), 3802 nucleotides. The record is from Ensembl. Lineage: Eukaryota; Metazoa; Chordata; Mammalia; Perissodactyla; Equidae.
CAGAGGCGUCUUCUCCAAUGGAGGCCGAGCACGUCUCCUCCUGCUCAUGAUCCCCUGCUCCUUAGAACCUGACCCAGGGCCCUUGUUGUGGAACUGAGCUUGGACUAACGAGGGAGCUGAGAGGCAGCUGCUGGCCAGCCAGCCAGGGCCCAAGCUGUCAGAAGAGAAGGAGAAAGCCUCAUUAGCAGAACAUGUCACUAUCGGAGCUGACUGCUUUCCAGGCCUGAGCUGGGGGAUGUCUAAGUUUGGAGAUGCAGAGCACAGUGCACCAUGGGAGCGGUCCCAGAAACAAGGGGUGCUGGUCCACCCCACUCCCCAGUCUCGCACCUGCCUCUGUCUUGUAUGUGCCUGCCACUGCAGCCUCCUGUCUGGAAUGCCUCCUCUGAUUCCUGUGGGCAGAGCCACGCAUCAGGCCCCGCUAGAUGGCCACCUCGGUUUAGAUGCUGUUCCGAUGCUGCCAGCAGGGGGUGAGCGUGUGCUGUGCUGGGCACGUCCUGCCUCUGCCCCUGGAACAGGGGACUGUCCUCUAGUUGGGUCCCCGUCUUCUCUUCCCAGCUGGGCCGUGCUCUUCCAGUGGGAUCUAUGCCUGAUUCACCUCGGGUAGCGCGAUGGAGUCUGGCCAGGUGCCCGGCAUGUGGGCUUCACAGAGGGCCCUGCUCUCCGUGGGUGAAGGAAAAUCUUCUCUGCCCGCUCAGAUGCUGGGACCGUCCCAGGGCCGUCUCGUGAGCAGGUGGAAAGACUCUGCAUGCAGUGUCACCGGCCUUGCAAGCAGCAGCCAGCGGCCUCCUGGACAUCCUCAGGCUUCUGAGGAGCCCCUGCGGAAGCUCCCUGACACACGACCCUCCCUCUGGACCCCAAGAUGUCUGGCUUCCUGUGGAGCUCCCUUAGACAUGGAGCUGGGUGAGCAGCCCAGACCUCGGUCAGCACUCCCAGGGGGAUCGCUCUGCGCCACUGUCAUAAAAGGGAGAUGUCGUCCCAGUGGACAGGCCCAACUCCUGCAUUACAGUCAGAAAACUCAGCAUCACGUGGAAAUGACCCGAGGCUGCUUUGAGGGCCCAAACCCGUGCCGCAGUCCAGGCUCUGAGGUUUCACCUCAGUGGGGCUGAAAUGCAGACCUGCAGUGAGGGUGGCCUCUCCUUGUGAGCCCUGGCGCCUCCAGGUCAUCCUCUAGGUUCACUGAGCAUUUGGACACGAUGCUUCUUAGGCCACGGAGGUGCCAGCUCCCUUCUGAAUUGAAUCCAUGCAGAGUGCCACUCUGGUUGGCACAGCUCUGUGGGGCACUGGACUGAGGCCUCUCGCCCACACGUCACCGCCCAUCCAUGUGUCCUCCUUGCACGGCCCCCACUCACAGCGGUAGGCACCACCCUGGGCCAAACCCCCACACUGCUGGCUGGCUCCGGAUUCCGCGUCUCACCUCCACGUAAAAUGCAGGGGGGCAGCUCCACCUCUCGCUCUGGGAUGGGACCUGCCGGGACCUUACACGGGCUGUACCCUGUUCCGCUUGCCAGGCCGGGUCCUGCUGGGCAGGCAGCAGCACAGGCCUCGGAGCACCUUGAGCAGCCUCUCUGGCGUUGCCUCUCUGGCCCUGGCUGCUGCCCCCAAGGGGGAGGCCGGGGUCGCCCCACUGGGGCGCCCAGGCUACUGGAAGUCUCUGUGGCAGCUUCCCUCCAGGGCCCCAUGGCUGGGGCUGGCACUGUGGGAGGAGAGGACGGCCUUGGGGACCCGCUAGGGGGUCAGGCUGGGGGUAGUGGUGCCUGACUCCAGGCGGGGCAGGGUGCCAGGAGGCUCUGUGGCCUUCAGCACUGACUCCUGUUUCUCCUCGGGCCGCUGACGGCCAGCUUCAUGGAGCCAGGUGGGCAGAAUGGGCUCACUGCCACCAUGUCGUCCGGAGCGUGCCGAGGCCCUCAGCUGCACCAUGUAGGGUGGCAAAGCACCACAGCGGCUGCCCUCGGCAGAUGGGAGGGACCUCCCGGUGCUGGCGUGGCCAUCCCCCUGGGGCUUCUGGGACCUCAGGAUCAGGAACAGGGCCCUGGUAUUGUCAUACCUUCGUGUUCUGAGGGACUCCAGGAUUUGCUUCCACUGAAAACCCAUCUUCAUCAUUGCUUCUGUCACCCAGGAUUCCCUUGUGUCACAAGGCAGCUCCUAUACGGGCUCAGUUUCGGCCAGCCCUGAUUGACCCAUGGGUCUCCCAUGACCUCUUCUAAGGUCUUCCUCUUCCUGGGGUCAAGGGUCAGCAGGCCUCUCAUAAUUGGAUGCAUUCCAACAAAAGGAGCAUGGGGAGCGAGUAGGCCCCUCUGAGCAUGCUCUGCCGCACGUCACUGAAGUCCUCUCCCCAGAACGGCGGGGACCCGGUGAGCAUGACAUGGAGCAGCACGCCGAGGCUCCAGCCGUCAGCUGGGGGGCCGUCUUAGGGCUGCAGCCGCAGGACCUCCGGGGCCGUGUAGCCGGGGGUGCCACAGUAGGUGCUCAGUGGCCGGCCAGGGACCAUGCUGCUGAGGCCGAAGUCGGCCAGCUUCGCGUUCCCCUCCGGGUCCAGGAGCACCUUCUCCAUCUCCAGCUUCAGGUCCUGGUGCAUGAUGCCCUUGCGGUGGCAGUACUGGAGAGCUGAGACGAGCUGCCGGGACCGGCCGCAGGCCUCCUCCUCGGUCAGGGGGCCGUGCUGCAACCGAGGGUCGAGGGUGUCCCCUCUGCUGAUGUAUUCUGUGAUGAUGAACAGCGUCUCCUCCGUGUCGAUCACCUCUAGCAGCUUUACAAUGUGGGAUGGUGCAAUGUCUUCAAACUCUGCAUUUCACCGAGGAGUCUCUUGGCUCUGGAGGAGCUCUGCUCCUGCUUCGGGGUGAUUUUCACGGCAACCUCUGUCCUGGCCGGGAUGUGCAGGGCCAGCUUCACCUGUGAAGGAGCCCUCCCCAAUGGUCCUGAGGAGCUCGUAAUCGUGAAGACAGGUCUGCCUGCCAGAGAGGUGGCAGCGAGGCCUGGAAGCAUGGUGACCUCAUAACUACACUUACUGACAAUACCAACCAAUGAUGCUAACUAUGCUUACUAACUACGCCAACAAACAAAACGUUAGUCUGCUAACUAAUAGUGACUAAUGAUAGUAACAAGGCCACCGAUGCUUGCUAACUUACUAACUAUGCUAAUAAGUAACACUAACUAUACCAAAGAUGCUAACUCUACUAACUACACCAACAAUACUAACUAUACUAACUAUGCUAACUCUACUAACUACACCAACAAUACUAACUAUACUAACUGUAAUAACAAUACUAACUAAAAAAAAUUGUUUUAAAAUGUGAAAAAGAACAAAAAAAAGCAAGGAAAAAUAAAAAAUGAGAAAAGAACAGGUUUUCAUAAAUUCCAUCACAGCGGCUCCUUAUGAGGUGAGAGCAGGAAAUGCACAGGCGUGGCUGGGGAUGAACUAUAGUGGUUGGCUCACUUUUUGGUCUCAAGAUCCCUUUACUCUGAAACAAAGGGACCCCAAAGAGAUUUUUUUUAUUUGGGAUAUUAGUGAUAUUUACUUUAUUAGAAAUUAAAAUCUGUAAGAUGCUUCAGUGGACUUUUCAUUUCUAAUUUAAAAAUCUCUCGUAACUUUUGGCUGUUAAAGAUUGCAAAAUAUCUACACUUAAAAUAUUCAACUCCUUUUCUUUAAACUCUGAUUAGUCUCAAAAUGAUCCUACCACUGAAGUGCUGUUAUAAUCCUAUAGGAAAAUGUUCUGUUGCAUGAGACCUGAAAAGGGACAUCAUUAAUGUUCAUAAAGCUGAGAGGAAGAGAGCUUUCCUCAUAUUUUCCCAGUAAGAUCAGGAG